This 256-nucleotide ribosomal RNA is filed under the name uncultured bacterium. Its description in RNAcentral is "partial 16S ribosomal RNA". It matches the Rfam family "Bacterial small subunit ribosomal RNA", at positions 524 to 776 of the family's 1533-position model. The record is from RNAcentral.
UACGUAGGGGGCAAGCGUUGUCCGGAAUUAUUGGGCGUAAAGGGCUUCGUAGGCGGUUUGUCGCGUCGGGGAGUGAAAACACCGGGCUUAACUCGGUGCUUGCUUUCGAUACGGGCAGACUAGAGGCAUGCAGGGGAGAACGGAAUUCCUGGUGUAGCGGUGAAAUGCGCAGAUAUCAGGAGGAACACCGGUGGCGAAGGCGGUUCUCUGGGCGAUGUCCUGACGCUGAGGAGCGAAAGUGUGGGGAGCGAACAGG